RNAcentral lists this non-coding RNA (45 nucleotides) under Schistosoma haematobium. Lineage: Eukaryota; Metazoa; Platyhelminthes; Trematoda; Strigeidida; Schistosomatidae. The record is from RNAcentral.
CUCCAGCUGACGAGUCCCAAAUAGGACGAAACACGCGUCCUGAAU